GUCGAACGCUGGCGGCGUGCUUAACACAUGCAAGUCGAACGGAAAGGCCCUGCUUUUGUGGGGUGCUCGAGUGGCGAACGGGUGAGUAACACGUGAGUAACCUGCCCUUGACUUUGGGAUAACUUCAGGAAACUGGGGCUAAUACCGGAUAGGAGCUCCUGCUGCAUGGUGGGGGUUGGAACGUUUCGGCGGUUGGGGAUGGACUCGCGGCUUAUCAGCUUGUUGGUGGGGUAGUGGCUUACCAAGGCUUUGACGGGUAGCCGGCCUGAGAGGGUGACCGGCCACAUUGGGACUGAGAUACGGCGCAGACUCCUACGGGAGACAGCAGUGGGGAAUAUUGCACAAUGGGCGGAAGCCUGAUGCAGCAACGCCGCGUGCGGGAUGACGGCCUUCGGGUUGUAAACCGCUUUCGCCUGUGACGAAGCGUGAGUGACGGUAAUGGGUAAAGAAGCACCGGCUAACUACGUG
This 468-nucleotide ribosomal RNA is filed under the name uncultured bacterium. RNAcentral's name for it is "partial 16S ribosomal RNA". It matches the Rfam family "Bacterial small subunit ribosomal RNA", at positions 28 to 507 of the family's 1533-position model. The record is from RNAcentral.